Molecule: ribosomal RNA, 254 nt
Filed under: uncultured bacterium
Lineage: Bacteria
Description: partial 16S ribosomal RNA
Rfam family: Bacterial small subunit ribosomal RNA
Source: RNAcentral
UACGGGGGGAGCAAGCGUUGUUCGGAUUUACUGGGCGUAAAGGGCGCGUAGGCGGUCGUGACAAGUCACUUGUGAAAUCCCCGGGCCUAACUCGGAACGGUCAAGUGAUACUGUCGGACUAGAGUACAGAAGGGGCAACUGGAAUUCUCGGUGUAGCGGUGAAAUGCGUAGAUAUCGAGAGGAACACCUGCGGCGAAGGCGGGUUGCUGGGCUGAUACUGACGCUGAGGCGCGAAAGCCAGGGGAGCGAACGGG